RNAcentral lists this ribosomal RNA (253 nucleotides) under uncultured bacterium. RNAcentral's name for it is "partial 16S ribosomal RNA". It matches the Rfam family "Bacterial small subunit ribosomal RNA", at positions 524 to 776 of the family's 1533-position model. The record is from RNAcentral.
UACGUAGGGGGCAAGCGUUGUUCGGAAUUACUGGGCGUAAAGGGCGCGUAGGCGGCACGGCAAGUCGGGAGUGAAAGCCCGGGGCUCAACCCCGGAGGGUCUUCCGAAACUGCCGAGCUAGAGUGCGGAAGAGGCAACCGGAAUUCCCAGUGUAGCGGUGAAAUGCGUAGAUAUUGGGAAGAACACCAGAGGCGAAGGCGGGUUGCUGGGCCGACACUGACGCUGAGGCGCGAAAGCCAGGGGAGCAAACGGG